GCGGGGAUAGCUCAGUGGUAGAGCGUGUGCUUACAUGGGGUCCGGGGUUCAAUCCCCGGUACCUCCA
Molecule: transfer RNA, 67 nt
Filed under: Camelus ferus (Wild Bactrian camel)
Lineage: Eukaryota; Metazoa; Chordata; Mammalia; Artiodactyla; Camelidae
Rfam family: tRNA
About the family: Transfer RNA (tRNA) molecules are approximately 80 nucleotides in length.
Source: Rfam by way of RNAcentral